Long non-coding RNA from Salvia miltiorrhiza (redroot sage), 1207 nucleotides. RefSeq lists it as uncharacterized. The transcript is spliced from 2 exons. The record is from RefSeq and is a predicted model, not a curated record. NCBI's taxonomy places the organism in Eukaryota, Viridiplantae, Streptophyta, Magnoliopsida, Lamiales, Lamiaceae.
UCCAAGGGGCUCUCGGUUGGGAAUAAAAAUUAUUGAGUUAAAAUAAAAAAAGGUGGAAGAAGAAUGACAGAAGAAAAUGAUGUUCAUGAAUCUCUCUAUUGGCAUUCGUGUUUUCUUCUUCAUCUCUACUCCCCAAAACAUGUCAAAAUCCCACCAAAUCUGUCACAAUUCAUCGAAUUCGUGCCCUUCCUCUCCCCAACCGAGAGAAUGAUCUGAUGAAGAUUGCUUGUGAUCUCCAGGCCUCUAUGAGAAAUCUCCAAUCUGGAUAAUGGUUGAUUUUCUCUCAUCACUGGGCAGUUGAUUUCACAACCAUUUUCAAUUGGUGAUACCAUAAAAGUAUAGCUCUACAUAUUUGAUCCUUUAAAAUUAGGUUUUGAAUUAGAUUUUGAUAGUAAUUGGCGGCUGCAUUUAGGGCUUUACAUAGGAUGAUUCAUUUUAUGCUUCUUGGAGUCCUGAAUUUCAAAAAAAGCAGAGCAGGAUAUCCUUGUUGAGGCUGUCAACAUCAUCAAACACUCUCAGUUGAUGUGCUUUUGCUUUGAGGCAACACGUUAACAAGCAAAACACAGAACUAGAAGUUAAAAAAAAAAAUAAUAAACGAUCUGUCCCAGCCUUUGCAGAAAUUGCUCAUUAUUCAUAUGGAGAAUGAAGGUAGGCUCCGAGCACGAGCAAAGACGAAAAGCUGGAGAGUCAGCUCCGAGCCCGAAGGCAGGCUCAGAUGAGAGGCUGGACGCUAAGAGCCAUGUCAGCACAUUCAAAUCCGCGCCUCUCCAUCAGGUAUCGAGCCCCAAGUCGUUCACAAGCAACACAGGAACAAAUACGUCUCCCUAAGUCAAGCUUCUCAAGAAGAAGAAGAGAUCCUUCUUCCCAAGAAUAUUCAUGGUCUUGGGCGAGAAGAAGUUGUCCAAGUCGUCGUCAAAAAUCGUGAUUGUAUUCUCGUAUCGCUUGUGGGUUGUAAACGAUGCCCUUGGAAAUGAGUUUUUCUCAAACCACCUUAAUCUGUUGUCCAUUCUUGACAAACGUCUAUAUUUGUAUAGUAAUAUUGUUUUGUGUACAAUAGGUUGCUCAGAUCAUAAUUUUUUUUUUCCUAAUACUUGAUUGGGGUAUACAGUUUGUAAUUUUAGCUUGGUGUGGCUAUGAGGGAUUGGAUUCUGUAACGAAACUUUUCUGCUUUUUGAUUCAUUAAUAUUCAAAGUUUUGUUUCUAUAAA